Molecule: unclassified non-coding RNA, 377 nt
Filed under: uncultured Actinomycetes bacterium
Lineage: Bacteria; Bacillati; Actinomycetota; Actinomycetes
Description: uncultured actinobacterium contains 16S-23S intergenic spacer region
Source: RNAcentral
UCCGAGUUGACCCCGGCAGUCUCCUACGUGUCCCCGGCAUAACCCGCUGGCAACAUAGGACAAGGGUUGCGCUCGUUGCGGGACUUAACCCAACACCUCACGGCACGAGCUGACGACAACCAUGCACCACCUGUGUACGGCCCCGAAGGACACCAUAUCUCUAUGGCUUUUCCGUACAUUUCAAGCCUUGGUAAGGUUCUUCGCGUUGCAUCGAAUUAAUCCACAUGCUCCGCCGCUUGUGCGGGCCCCCGUCAAUUCCUUUGAGUUUCAGCCUUGCGGCCGUACUCCCCAGGCGGGGCGCUUAAUGCGUUAGCUACGGCACGGAUCCCGUGGAAGGAAACCCACACCUAGCGCCCACCGUUUACGGCGUGGACUAC